UGGGGAAUAUUGCGCAAUGGGGGGAACCCUGACGCAGCCAUGCCGCGUGAAUGAAGAAGGCCUUAGGGUUGUAAAGUUCCUUCGGUAUUGAGGAAGGUUGAUGUGUUAAUAGCACAUCAAAUUGACGUUAAAUACAGAAGAAGCACCGGCUAACUCCGUGCCAGCAGCCGCGGUAAUACGGAGGGUGCGAGCGUUAAUCGGAAUAACUGGGCGUAAAGGGCACGCAGGCGGUUAUUUAAGUGAGGUGUGAAAGCCCCGGGCUUAACCUGGGAAUUGCAUUUCAGACUGGGUAACUAGAGUACUUUAGGGAGGGGUAGAAUUCCACGUGUAGCGGUGAAAUGCGUAGAGAUGUGGAGGAAUACCGAAGGCGAAGGCAGCCCCUUGGGAAUGUACUGACGCUCAUGUGCGAAAGCGUGGGGAGCAAACAGGAUUAGAUACCCUGGUAGUCCACGCUGUAAACGCUGUCGAUUUGGGGGUUGGGGUUUAACUCUGGCGCCCGUAGCUAACGUGAUAAAUCGACCGCCUGGGGAGUACGGCCGCAAGGUUA
Molecule: ribosomal RNA, 547 nt
Filed under: uncultured bacterium
Lineage: Bacteria
Description: bacterial SSU rRNA
Rfam family: Bacterial small subunit ribosomal RNA
Source: RNAcentral